CAAAGUGUAGCUUAAACAAAAGCACCUGGCUUACACCCAGAAGAUUUCAUUAAAAAUGACCACUUUGA
This 68-nucleotide transfer RNA is filed under the name Talpa levantis (Levant mole). RNAcentral describes it as "tRNA-Val". It matches the Rfam family "tRNA". Rfam says of the family: Transfer RNA (tRNA) molecules are approximately 80 nucleotides in length. Their secondary structure includes four short double-helical elements and three loops (D, anti-codon, and T loops). RNAcentral also lists the same sequence under 2 other names. Lineage: Eukaryota; Metazoa; Chordata; Mammalia; Eulipotyphla; Talpidae. The record is from RNAcentral.